CCCCACUAUGCUUAGCCUUAAACUCAGAUGUAAAUACGUACAAACAACAUCCGCCAGGGGACUACAAGCGCUAGCUUAAAACCCAAAGGACUUGACGGUGUCUCAGACCCGCCUAGAGGAGCCUGUUCUAGAACCGAUAAUCCCCGUUAAACCUCACCAUCCCUUGUCUUCCCCGCCUAUAUACCGCCGUCGCAAGCUUACCCUAUGAAGGACUUACAGUAAGCAAAAUGGGCCCACCCCAGAACGUCAGGUCGAGGUGUAGCUCACGAGAUGGAAAGAAAUGGGCUACAUUUUCUACAACAGAAUAUCACGAACGGCACCAUGAAACCUAGUGCCCGAAGGUGGAUUUAGCAGUAAAAAACAAACAGAGCGUGUUUUUGAAUCAGGCUCUG
Molecule: ribosomal RNA, 392 nt
Filed under: Pygopristis denticulata (lobetoothed piranha)
Lineage: Eukaryota; Metazoa; Chordata; Actinopteri; Characiformes; Serrasalmidae
Description: partial 12S small subunit ribosomal RNA
Rfam family: Bacterial small subunit ribosomal RNA
Source: RNAcentral